UGGGGAAUCUUCGGCAAUGGGGGCAACCCUGACCGAGCAACGCCGCGUGAGUGAAGAAGGUUUUCGGAUCGUAAAGCUCUGUUGUAAGAGAAGAACGUGUGUGAGAGUGGAAAGUUCACACAGUGACGGUAACUUACCAGAAAGGGACGGCUAACUACGUGCCAG
RNAcentral lists this ribosomal RNA (165 nucleotides) under uncultured bacterium. RNAcentral describes it as "partial 16S rRNA". It matches the Rfam family "Bacterial small subunit ribosomal RNA", at positions 355 to 511 of the family's 1533-position model. The record is from RNAcentral.